This 439-nucleotide ribosomal RNA is filed under the name uncultured bacterium. RNAcentral describes it as "partial 16S ribosomal RNA". It matches the Rfam family "Bacterial small subunit ribosomal RNA", at positions 339 to 795 of the family's 1533-position model. The record is from RNAcentral.
CUACGGGGGGCUCCAGUGAGGAAUAUUGCACAAUGGGGGAAACCCUGAUGCAGCAACGCCGCGUGGAGGAUGACGCAUUUCGGUGUGUAAACUCCUUUUAUGAGUCAAGAAAAUGACGGUAGCUCAUGAAUAAGCACCGGCUAACUCCGUGCCAGCAGCCGCGGUAAUACGGAGGGUGCAAGCGUUACUCGGAAUCACUGGGCGUAAAGGACGCGUAGGCGGGCUUGUAAGUCAGGUGUGAAAUCCUACAGCUUAACUGUAGAACUGCACUUGAAACUACGAGCCUAGAGUAUGGGAGGGGGAGAUGGAAUUAGUGGUGUAGGGGUAAAAUCCGUAGAUAUCACUAGGAAUACCGAAAGCGAAGGCGAUCUCCUGGAACAUUACUGACGCUAAGGCGUGAAAGCGUGGGGAGCAAACAGGAUUAGAUACCCCAGUAGUC